UACGGAGGGUGCGAGCGUUGUCCGGAAUCACUGGGCGUAAAGGGCGCGUAGGUGGCUCGUGAAGCGUGCGGUGAAAGUCCGAGGCUCAACCUCGGAUCGGCCGUGCGGACUCGCGGGCUCGAGCGUUGUAGAGGCGGGUGGAAUUCCGGGUGUAGCGGUGGAAUGCGUAGAGAUCAGGUGGAACACCGAUGGCGAAGGCAGCACUCUGGCCGAGUUACUGACGCUGAGGCGCGAAAGCUGGGGGAGCGAACGGG
RNAcentral lists this ribosomal RNA (254 nucleotides) under uncultured bacterium. RNAcentral describes it as "partial 16S ribosomal RNA". It matches the Rfam family "Bacterial small subunit ribosomal RNA", at positions 524 to 776 of the family's 1533-position model. The record is from RNAcentral.